Molecule: ribosomal RNA, 347 nt
Filed under: fungal sp. E13020B
Lineage: Eukaryota; Fungi
Description: SSU rRNA
Rfam family: Eukaryotic small subunit ribosomal RNA
Source: RNAcentral
GGACGUGUGGUUCUAUUUUGUUGGUUUCUAGGACCGCCGUAAUGAUUAAUAGGGACAGUCGGGGGCAUCAGUAUUCAAUAGUCAGAGGUGAAAUUCUUGGAUCUAUUGAAGACUAACUACUGCGAAAGCAUUUGCCAAGGAUGUUUUCAUUAAUCAGGAACGAAAGUUAGGGGAUCGAAGACGAUCAGAUACCGUCGUAGUCUUAACCAUAAACUAUGCCGACUAGGGAUCGGACGAUGUUAUUUUUUGACUCGUUCGGCACCUUACACGAAAGUACAAGUUUCUGGGUUCUGGGGGGAGUAUGGUCGCAAGGCUGAAACUUAAAGAAAUUGACGGAAGGGCACCAC